This 497-nucleotide ribosomal RNA is filed under the name uncultured bacterium. RNAcentral's name for it is "partial 16S ribosomal RNA". It matches the Rfam family "Bacterial small subunit ribosomal RNA", at positions 28 to 507 of the family's 1533-position model. The record is from RNAcentral.
GAUGAACGCUGGCGGCGUGCCUAAUACAUGCAAGUCGAGCGAACAGAUAAGGAGCUUGCUCCUUUGACGUUAGCGGCGGACGGGUGAGUAACACGUGGGUAACCUACCUAUAAGACUGGGAUAACUUCGGGAAACCGGAGCUAAUACCGGAUAACAUUUGGAACCGCAUGGUUCUAAAGUGAAAGAUGGUUUUGCUAUCACUUCUAGAUGGACCCGCGCCGUAUUAGCUAGUUGGUAAGGUAACGGCUUACCAAGGCGACGAUACGUAGCCGACCUGAGAGGGUGAUCGGCCACACUGGAACUGAGACACGGUCCAGACUCCUACGGGAGGCAGCAGUAGGGAAUCUUCCGCAAUGGGCGAAAGCCUGACGGAGCAACGCCGCGUGAGUGAUGAAGGGGUUCGGCUCGUAAAACUCUGUUAUUAGGGAAGAACAAACGUGUAAGUAACUGUGCACGUCUUGACGGUACCUAAUCAGAAAGCCACGGCUAACUACGUG